Sycon ciliatum is the source of this 147-nucleotide long non-coding RNA. RefSeq lists it as uncharacterized. The transcript is spliced from 3 exons. The record is from RefSeq and is a predicted model, not a curated record. Lineage: Eukaryota; Metazoa; Porifera; Calcarea; Leucosolenida; Sycettidae.
GGCUGCUGUUGCAGUCCGACUACCGGGGCGCCAUGGAGCGUAUUAGGACCCUAUGAUGAUGUAUGAAGGUCUGGAGCUGCCGUCUUCGGGAUGUGCCAUUUGUUUCAAAAUUAUUUACUCAUCCAAGUCCAUUUAAAUAAAAGUGCA